Molecule: long non-coding RNA, 1136 nt
Organism: Pseudoliparis swirei
Lineage: Eukaryota; Metazoa; Chordata; Actinopteri; Perciformes; Liparidae
Exons: 6
Source: RefSeq, a predicted model, not a curated record
UGCCCGAGACGGAUUGGCGGCAGCGAGAAGGCAGUGCACUGUGCGAGUUACUUUAAGGCUUUGAAAAACCUGGCAAUGAAUUAUUCUGGCUGAGUUCUGUUGCUUAUCAAGCAAAAAUCUGAGUUGCAAUCAGAGUUCUUCAAAGAUCUCGACAAAUACACUCCUCGCUUCCUGGAGAAGUUCAAGACCCAGAGGGGGAAAGUGUCGGACAGAAACUUGAAUAUCUGCAGCAAGUCACACCUGGGAGUACAGAUGUGACUGGGAGGUGAACAGCAGUCCUCCGUGGCCCUCCCGUCAUCCUUGGAGAUGACAACGCAGACUUCUUCAAGAAUUUGAGGUUCAGGAGCAGCCAAUAUGAUGCAGGUGUGACGGCUGAAGAUGGUAGGUACCUGUUCAGCCUCCUGUGGUAGGAGCACAUUUCCCAGAAGCAGCAGUGACAAAGAAAUGUGGAUGUUUACCACGAAUAUGGUUGGUUGCCCACGUAUUAAACUUUGGUCUUUCUUUAUUGAAGGUGUGAGUUUAGGAUGGCAUGAAGCUUCGACUUGACCCUAUGGAAACACAGCAGAUGCCACCAAAGGGUCCUGAUCGGGGCGUGUUGUGAUGCAACUGCAUCGACCUGUUCUCAGGCCCUUCUACAUUCUGUUGUUUACAUUUGCUCUAUUAUUGUUGUUCCAUUCCAAUAUCAUCCCUAUUUGACUCUGAUGACCUUCUGGACGUGUCCCACGCCUCCAUUGGGAACCUGACAGUGCUGAAGACAUCGUGGCCUCCUCACUCGCUGGACCUGGAGUCUACAACUACUGCCAUCGUUUUGGGAGGAACAGUCGUGAUGGGUGACCGUGAUAAUCUUCCCCGUGCCGUGUGGCUACUCUUCGGACUUAUUUACCCCUGAAUUUGGAGUAUCCUCAACGAGUGAGGAACACCUUCUGAAUUUAUUCAUAGAGUGCUUCUCACUUGGACCAAAAACCCUAAAAUACAAUCACUCAAAAAUCUACUGAUGCCGUAAGGGACUGUGUUCAUGAUGUGCAGUCAGGCCCGAGAACUUCACCCUUCUAUCUCCAAUAGAACUCUUUUAUAGAAAAUGUCUGUUUUUGUUGUUUUUCUGUAGUGAAAUUUAGCAAAUGCCGAAAACGCUGUGU